RNAcentral lists this ribosomal RNA (2865 nucleotides) under Stenotrophomonas maltophilia. RNAcentral's name for it is "bacterial LSU rRNA". It matches the Rfam family "Bacterial large subunit ribosomal RNA". The record is from RNAcentral. Lineage: Bacteria; Pseudomonadati; Pseudomonadota; Gammaproteobacteria; Lysobacterales; Lysobacteraceae.
AGCGCACACGGUGGAUGCCUUGGCGGUCAGAGGCGAUGAAGGACGUGGCAGCCUGCGAAAAGUAUCGGGGAGCUGGCAACAAGCUUUGAUCCGGUAAUGUCCGAAUGGGGAAACCCACCCGCUUGCGGGUAUCCUGCAGUGAAUACAUAGCUGCUGGAAGCGAACCUGGUGAACUGAAAUAUCUAAGUAACCAGAGGAAAAGAAAUCAACCGAGAUUCCGUAAGUAGCGACGAGCGAACGCGGACUAGCCCUUAAGCUGGAUUGGUUCUAGGAAAAUGCUCUGGAAAGAGCAGCCAUAGAAGGUGAUAGCCCUGUAUCUGAAAGGGCCAUUCCAGUGAAGACGAGUAGGGCGGGGCACGUGAAACCCUGUCUGAACAUGGGGGGACCAUCCUCCAAGGCUAAAUACUACUGACCGACCGAUAGUGAACCAGUACCGUGAGGGAAAGGCGAAAAGAACCCCGGAGAGGGGAGUGAAAUAGAACCUGAAACCGUGUGCGUACAAGCAGUAGGAGCUCCGCAAGGAGUGACUGCGUACCUUUUGUAUAAUGGGUCAGCGACUUACUGUUCGUGGCAAGCUUAACCGUAUAGGGGAGGCGAAGGGAAACCGAGUCUGAUAAGGGCGCAUAGUCGCGGGCAGUAGACCCGAAACCGGGUGAUCUAGUCAUGCCCAGGGUGAAGGUGCGGUAACACGCACUGGAGGCCCGAACCCACUCCCGUUGCAAAGGUAGGGGAUGAGGUGUGAUUAGGAGUGAAAAGCUAAUCGAACCCGGAGAUAGCUGGUUCUCCUCGAAAGCUAUUUAGGUAGCGCCUCAUAUGUAUCCUCUCGGGGGUAGAGCACUGUUAUGGCUAGGGGGUCAUCGCGACUUACCAAACCAUUGCAAACUCCGAAUACCGAGACGGACUGUAUGGGAGACACACGGCGGGUGCUAACGUCCGUCGUGAAAAGGGAAACAACCCAGACCCACAGCUAAGGUCCCAAAUUUUGUGCUAAGUGGAAAACCAUGUGGAAAGGCACAGACAGCCAGGAGGUUGGCUUAGAAGCAGCCACCCUUUAAAGAAAGCGUAAUAGCUCACUGGUCGAGUCGGUCUGCGGGGAAGAUUUAACGGGGCUAAGCACAGAACCGAAGCUUGGGGUGCAUAACUUUGUUAUGCGCGGUAGAGGAGCGUUCCGUAAGCCGUUGAAGGUGGAUUGAGAAGUCUGCUGGAGGUAUCGGAAGUGCGAAUGCUGACAUGAGUAACGAUAAUGCGGGUGAAAAACCCGCACGCCGAAAGCCCAAGGUUUCCUUGCGCAACGUUAAUCGGCGCAGGGUGAGUCGGCCCCUAAGGCGAGGACGAAAGUCGUAGUCGAUGGGAAGCAGGUUAAUAUUCCUGCACCUCGCGUAAGUGCGAUGGAGGGACGGAGAAGGUUAGGUGUACCAGGCGUUGGUUGUCCUGGGGAAAGGCGGUAGGUUUGGAUCUUUGGCAAAUCCGGGAUCCUUUAAGACCGAGCACCGAGACGAGCCUUUAUGGCGAAGUCACUGAUACCACGCUUCCAGGAAAAGCUCCUAAGCUUCAGCUUACGCAGACCGUACCGUAAACCGACACAGGUGGGUAGGAUGAGAAUUCUCAGGCGCUUGAGAGAACUCGGGUGAAGGAACUAGGCAACAUGGCACCGUAACUUCGGGAGAAGGUGCACCCUUUUUGGUGGCUCGUGCGAGCUAUAGCUGAAGAGGGUCGCAGUAACCAGGCCGCUGCGACUGUUUAUCAAAAACACAGCACUCUGCAAACACGAAAGUGGACGUAUAGGGUGUGACGCCUGCCCGGUGCUGGAAGGUUAAUUGAUGGGGUCAGCCGCAAGGCGAAGCUCUUGAUCGAAGCCCCAGUAAACGGCGGCCGUAACUAUAACGGUCCUAAGGUAGCGAAAUUCCUUGUCGGGUAAGUUCCGACCUGCACGAAUGGCGUAACGACAGCGGCGCUGUCUCCACCCGAGACUCAGUGAAAUUGAAAUCGCUGUGAAGAUGCAGCGUUCCCGUGGCAAGACGGAAAGACCCCGUGAACCUUUACUAUAGCUUUACACUGAACGUUGAGUUCGUCUGUGUAGGAUAGGUGGGAGGCUAUGAAACUGUGGCGCUAGCUGCAGCGGAGCCAUCCUUGAAAUACCACCCUGUCGUGCUUGACGUUCUAACCUGGGCCCAUUAUCUGGGUCGGGGACCGUGUAUGGUGGGUAGUUUGACUGGGGCGGUCUCCUCCUAAAGAGUAACGGAGGAGCUCGAAGGUACGCUCAGCGCGGUCGGACAUCGCGCACUGUGUGCAAAGGCAUAAGCGUGCUUGACUGCAAGAUCGACGGAUCAAGCAGGUAGGAAACUAGGACUUAGUGAUCCGGUGGUUCUGUAUGGAAGGGCCAUCGCUCAACGGAUAAAAGGUACUCCGGGGAUAACAGGCUGAUACCGCCCAAGAGUUCAUAUCGACGGCGGUGUUUGGCACCUCGAUGUCGGCUCAUCACAUCCUGGGGCUGUAGUCGGUCCCAAGGGUAUGGCUGUUCGCCAUUUAAAGUGGUACGCGAGCUGGGUUCAGAACGUCGUGAGACAGUUCGGUCCCUAUCUGCCAUGGGCGUUGGAGAUUUGAGAGGGGCUGCUCCUAGUACGAGAGGACCGGAGUGGACGAACCUCUGGUGUUCCGGUUGUCACGCCAGUGGCAUUGCCGGGUAGCUAUGUUCGGAAGCGAUAACCGCUGAAAGCAUCUAAGCGGGAAGCGCGCCUCAAGAUGAGAUCUCCCGGGGCACAAGCCCCCUGAAGGAACCAUGUAGACUACGUGGUUGAUAGGUCAGGUGUGUAAGUACAGCAAUGUAUUGAGCUAACUGAUACUAAUGAUCCGUGCGGCUUGACC